Molecule: ribosomal RNA, 622 nt
Filed under: uncultured Winogradskyella sp.
Lineage: Bacteria; Pseudomonadati; Bacteroidota; Flavobacteriia; Flavobacteriales; Flavobacteriaceae
Description: bacterial SSU rRNA
Rfam family: Bacterial small subunit ribosomal RNA
Source: RNAcentral
GGUAAAAGAUGAGUAUGCGUUCUAUUAGUUAGUUGGUAAGGUAACGGCUUACCAAGACCGCGAUAGAUAGGGGCCCUGAGAGGGGGAUCCCCCACACUGGUACUGAGACACGGACCAGACUCCUACGGGAGGCAGCAGUGAGGAAUAUUGGACAAUGGGCGCGAGCCUGAUCCAGCCAUGCCGCGUGCAGGAAGACUGCCCUAUGGGUUGUAAACUGCUUUUAUACAGGAAGAAACCUUUUCACGUGUGAAAAGCUGACGGUACUGUAAGAAUAAGGAUCGGCUAACUCCGUGCCAGCAGCCGCGGUAAUACGGAGGAUCCAAGCGUUAUCCGGAAUCAUUGGGUUUAAAGGGUCCGUAGGUGGAUAAUUAAGUCAGGGGUGAAAGUUUGCAGCUCAACUGUAAAAUUGCCUUUGAUACUGGUUAUCUUGAAUUAUUGUGAAGUGGUUAGAAUAUGUAGUGUAGCGGUGAAAUGCAUAGAUAUUACAUAGAAUACCAAUUGCGAAGGCAGAUCACUAACAAUAUAUUGACACUGAUGGACGAAAGCGUGGGGAGCGAACAGGAUUAGAUACCCUGGUAGUCCACGCCGUAAACGAUGGAUACUAGCUGUUCGGUUUUCGGAC